Molecule: ribosomal RNA, 497 nt
Filed under: uncultured bacterium
Lineage: Bacteria
Description: partial 16S ribosomal RNA
Rfam family: Bacterial small subunit ribosomal RNA
Source: RNAcentral
GAUGAACGCUGGCGGCGUGCCUAAUACAUGCAAGUCGAGCGAACAGACGCGGAGCUUGCUCCUUUGACGUUAGCGGCGGACGUGUGUGUAACACGUGUGUCACCUACCUAUAUUUCUGGGAUAACUUCGGGAAACCGGCUCUUAUCCCGUAUAAUAUUUCGAACCGCAUGGUUCGUUCGUUAAUUUUGGCUCUGCUUUCUCUUAUCGAUGUUCCUGCGCCGUAUUAGCUAGUUGGUAAGGUAACGGCUUACAAAGGCAACGAUACGUAGCCGACGUGAGAGGGGGAUCGGCGACACGGGAACGGAGACACGGACAAGAGGACUACGGGAGGCAGCAGAAGGGAAGAGGCCGCAAUGGGCGAAAGCAUGACGGAGCAAGGCCGCGUGAGAGAAGAAGGACUACGGAUCGUAAAACUCUGUUAUUAGGGAAGAACAAACGUGGAAGGAAAAGUGCAGGGAGUGACGGUAACGAAUAAGAAAGCAACGGCUAACUACGUG